UUAAUGAACAAAUGUACAUGCAGAGCAGUUACUUAUAAAAUUUAGAAAGGAAAAUAUUCCCUUAAGCGCCGUGUGAAACUCCAUUACUCUGUUGCAUCAUUAAUGAAUGAUUUCUGCUUGGAAUUUACAUAAAUCAAAGGAACUGGAGCUCCUCUGUGCUCCCCGUUCAGUAUAACCUCUGAAUACACAUGCAUAUUUCAUGCUUACUAAAAGAUUAACAGGAACAUUUGUAAAGAUCGAUUUAAAACAUGGCGCCUUCUGGUAUUUUUAGUGCAAUUCAUGAAAAUGAGCAAAGACGUAACGCGUGAAAAGAAGAACGAGUGCAAAGCGUGAUGUGUUUCGGCUCAAACCUACAGGGGCAGGGUAUACUUUUAUUUAAACAUAGGGUAAGUGUUGCAAUAUCUCUACAAAACAUUGGUGUCAAAGUUAUCAGCACGUUUAUAAUGAGUAUUCUGAUGUCUUCCCUGGGGAGAAUAACAGCAUCGAGUCAAGGUUCUUAUUCCACUCCUCCAUGAAGGACAUUUUAUAUAAAGUUCCUUUACGUAUAUUCAAUUCAGCAUUGCUUUUCACUUGGGUUCAUGGCCAUUGAUGGAAUCAUUCUCUUGCUCUGUUUAUAGUCAAGUCAGAACCUCCUGGUAGAGGCAACCAGGUUUUGAGCUGAAAUAUCCUUCUAGGUGAGAACUCGUGAGGCAAUAAAGCUUCACAAGAAUCUGAACCAGAACCUCCAGCUACAAAACAGCCCCAAAGUAUCAAUCUUACACCUCCAUAUUUUACAGUGGAGUAUCAGAUGCUUUGCCUUGUACGCAGUCCCCUCUUUACACCAAUGGUGAGUAUGACGAAUUUGUAAAAAAAACAACAACAAUUGUCUCAUCUGAUAACAGCAAUGAUAUCAGCGAUAGUUCUAACGACACCUGAAGUUCUCUGUGACAUUCUCACAGGAAAGUCUUCUUUCUUCCAAACAGCCACUAGAAUCAACUACAUUUUGAAACUGUGAUUUAUAGACUCCUUUUUCCUUCCUUCACCACCACCGUGCUGCUCACUCCAAACACCAAAUUUCAGAUGUUUCCCAAAGAUGACACUUUUUUUUUUCUGCUAUGGCUGUAAAUGUGCUUCAUGGUAUUUUAAACUGGCUGUGUAGUUUCGUAUACCCAUUACCUGACUGUACAAGUCAAACACCAUGUGUGUUGUGUUGAAAGGUUUUGUUUUGUUUUCUUCAUGUGUGCAUAUUUAUAUCCCAGGGAAACAAGACACGAUAUAAAAUCGUCCCUAGGGGUGUCGAUAUGUCUGGGUCAUACAUUUCUGAGAGAAAAUACUGUUAUUCAAAAAAGUAUUUCCAAUGGGAAUGAUUAUGAAGGGCAAUGUAUAAAGUACAUUUCAUGUUGCUGUCUCUGUUUUCGUAUAGCAAAACCUCCUCGUUCAGGUAAUAACCAUGUUUUGUACAAUUGCAAGCUUAUUAGAUACACCUAGCAUACGGUAUAGCAUUCAUGUCACGUGGUUGGGAGUGUGUGUGUGUUGGGGGUGUAUACAGUAUAUCAAGGAUGAGAAUCUGACACUAAUCUGAAAAUGUGACUAAUCUGAUGAAGGGCUUCUAUAGAUGUGGUAGAGGAGAGCAUAGCCACUAAGUGACCUAUAAGGUAAGCGUACCUGACAAAAUGACCAACGAGUGCUGGAAAGGUUGGUGUAGAACAAUCUUAUAGUACAAUUCGAACGCCUGUGAAUCAACUGGCCCGACUAACAGUAAUCGUUUAAAGACUUUAAAGUGCACCUAUUAUGGUUUUUCAGAUAUUCCCUUUCAUGUAGUGAGUUAUAGAGCUGUUUGUGAAUGUAAAAAGCCUGCAACAUUUCAAAAAUCGAAGCGCACGACAAACAGAGUUAUUGACUCCCAAAAGAAGGAAUCGAUUCUGAACAGCUGAAACAAAUGAUUCCAGAAUUACUUCCUGUAUAAACCUACGUAGGUUUGUAACAAAAACCCCACCUUUAUAGGCUGCUCAUGAACAGAGAGAGGUGAAACUCGUUAUGGUAGUGGGCAUUUCCUUUUCGACACACCCUGACCUAGACCAAUCACAACAGACUGGGUCAUCUGACCAAUCAGAGCAGAGUAUGCUCUCUGAAAGGAGGAGUUUAGAAUUAAUCUUUUAGAACGGAUCAUUGAUCGAGUCGUUUGUGACACUGGGGGGGAAAAAAGGUAAUGCUGCAAUUUAAAUUAUGAGCACGUUAAAGUGUCUUUUGACCUCAGAUGCAUGUAAAUCUAUUGUAUGAGGGCUUUAAAACAAAAUUAGCCACGUUUCAAAGCCAUAAUAGGUGCGCUUUAAAUAGAUUUCAAUAUUUCAGCCAUUAAAAGGUCUGUAGUAAUCUUAGAAAUUGUAAUGAUUACAAAGUAAUUACAUGGCAACAUGGCGUAUUAACAAAGUAAUUCUAAUGGUGUAAGUCUUUGUUUUUGCCACUUGAGGGCAGCACAUCACUAAAUAUUCUCACUCAAUGACGUGGUUCUGGACUGCUUGUUUUAUUUCUUUGCUCAGUACAUCUUGAGGUUUGUCGGUUCAACUUACUGUGUAUAUUAUAUUUAGCGAUGGACGAUAGCGAUUCCAGAAGAAAUUCUGACACCUCUUCACCCUGAACGCUUUCCUGAAUGGACCUGAACAUUUCAAAUGACCAAAAUGGAAUUAUGGCCUGAUAAGGUGAAAAGAAAGAAAGAAAGAAAGUGGUCCAUUUCAUUGGAGCUGCUUUCAUCAAGUAGCAGCAUCCCAUGUACUUUUCCCAGGGAGCAACGUCUGUGGUCCUGUACAGUAUGUCUAGAGUCAAGCAAAGUUUUGAGGUUUUUCUACUAAACCUGGGCAUGGACUGUGAUGCACUCAAAGCCAAGGAUGUCUCAAGUGCACCAUGGUGAAACAGCUCAAGCACUUUUAAUGAGAGUGGGAAUCUGAUAUGCACACACAGCACUUGACUUGCAUGAUGGAGGCAACACUAUAACAGCCCGAAGGUGCAAAUACUAAUGAACCAACAUGUAGUUACUCGAAAUCAUUCUACAAAUAAUCAACAUGUUUAUGUCCAGGACUUGGGUAUCUUGGUCAUCCCUGUUCAUUUCCUGUUUACUAUAUUUAGAACAUAUGAUUGCGCUAUAGCUCUCUGUUGCAGAGUGAAAAGACAGGGUGUAAGCUGUUUCCAAAAUUAGGGGAUCAGCUACUGAAUAAUGUACUGUAUGGGAUUGGGAUAUAGGCUAGCUUUAACCUUUUAUGGUUUGUGAUGCCUUAGAUAAGAGUAUCGCCACACACAAAGUCAGUACCAUGGACUGUGUCCAUUGCUACAGAUUGUCCAGGAUGGGUCAAGCAAAAGCAUGGCCAACCACACACCACUAAUUCCUAUACGGAAAACUCUCAUGGUUGGCAGCACAUUAAGGAGAUAAUGACAACUAGCUGAGGGAGAAGACAGACUGUUAAAAGCAUGUCUGAAAAAGUAAUACCCCAGCUUCCCGUAUCUGCAGAUUACCAUGACGAAUCCAGGCCUUCAACAUUUUGGUGAAGAGCUAAUCCUCAGUUGCAUUGCCUCCUUACAACACAGAGUGACCAGAGAACUCGCACUGAGCCAUGCACACUCACCAUCCCUCACUACUCUACCCAUAUUACUUGA
Molecule: long non-coding RNA, 3627 nt
Organism: Ictalurus furcatus (blue catfish)
Lineage: Eukaryota; Metazoa; Chordata; Actinopteri; Siluriformes; Ictaluridae
Exons: 3
Source: RefSeq, a predicted model, not a curated record